UAAUCGCGCAUCAGCCAUGGCGCGGUGAAUACGUUCCCGGGCCUUGUACACACCGCCCGUCAAGCCAUGGAAGCCGGGGGUGCCUGAAGUGUGCAGCCGCAAGGAGCGCCCUAAGGUAAAACCGGUGACUGGGGCUAAGUCGUAACAAGGUAUC
This 154-nucleotide ribosomal RNA is filed under the name uncultured bacterium. RNAcentral's name for it is "partial 16S ribosomal RNA". It matches the Rfam family "Bacterial small subunit ribosomal RNA", at positions 1339 to 1500 of the family's 1533-position model. The record is from RNAcentral.